Peromyscus maniculatus bairdii (prairie deer mouse) is the source of this 5127-nucleotide non-coding RNA. Lineage: Eukaryota; Metazoa; Chordata; Mammalia; Rodentia; Cricetidae. The record is from RefSeq and is a predicted model, not a curated record.
GUUAAAAUUAAAGAUAAAAAUACAUAUAAAAUAAUAAGACUGUGGUUAUAGUUCAUUUGGUAAAGUGCUUGCCUAGUGUACAGAAAGCCCUAGAUUUCAUCCUCAGUACUGAAUAAAACCAAAUGUGUUGGUAUAUGUCUGCAUUCCCAAAAUCGAAGUUAGGAAGGUUGAGGCAGGAGGAUCAGAAGUUUGAGGUCAUCUUUAACAUUAACAUUAUAAUCAGUUUAAGACCAGCCUGGGCUAUGUCUUUAAAAAUAGUAAUAAUAAACUGGACCAGCAAAAAUGGUUCAGUGGAUAAAGGUCCCGUUGCUAAGCCUAACAACCUAAGUUUGAUAAUUGGAACCUAAAUGGUGGGAAAAGAGCUGACUCCUGCAGUGUCCUCUGAUUUACACCUGCAUGCCAUGGCAUGAGUGCAUGUACACACACACACACACACACACACACACACACACACACACACACACACUUAUGUAAUAAAAAGGAAACUUUUUAAUUGAAAUUAAAUAAUUGUACUCUGAGCAUCUUUUUCAGGAAAGAUAAUUAGUAAGCUUAUGCUAUGAUGUAGGAGUAAAUAAAUUUGGUUUAUGAUAAGUUGAGUUUGAAGUAUCCAGUAUUAAUGAUACUGGAGGCUUAACAGGUAGGCUGGACUAAAGAUAUAAUUUUGGGGAGUUGGUUGAGGUGUAGGUUGUAUCAGAAAUAUGGAGAUAGGUGAACUGGUGCCAAAGUCAAGCAUACCAUUAAGACUACAGAGAUACAACCUAUGGAAUGCAGACCUUUGAGGACCACGUAAAAACUAUAGCCAGCAAAGGAGACUAAAACAGUAAUCUGAGAUAAAGGAAAGACAAGAAAGCCUCAUGUCACAGAGGACAAAAAUUUUAGAAGUGAAACGUGAAGAGGAAUGGCAAGAUGGCUUAGCAGGUAAAGGUGCUCACCUUCAAACCUAACAACCUGAGUCCAACUCCCAGAACCCACCUGAUGGAAGGAAAGAAUUUACCCUUGUAAGUUGUCUCUGACCUUCACUCUCAUGCUAUCACAUGCAUACAGUGAAUAAAUAAAUACAAGUAAAAAAAACCCCAACUAUUAAUUGUCUCUGAAUAGUUAAGAAAAAGGAAGAAUAACAGCCUGCUGAAGGAAGAUGUCACCUGGUUAAGAUGAUGAAUAGAAUAUUCACUAUUUUCCUGAGUUCCCAUACUCCUUUGCCUAAACUCUGUAUGAGUUCAUAAUGAAAGAAUCCUGCAACUUCAGAAGUAAAAAGAAGUCAGGCUAUUAUUUUAACAGAGGGAAUAAAAUCAAGAGUGUCAGUGACUUGCCUGGCCAACUAAGGUUAUCUAGAAAGUUGGCAUCAAAAUCAAAGCUAGACUUCUUUGCAAGUUAAGAGAUGUUAUAAUUAGAAACAAAUCAAGCUUUUGAAUCAGUUGGAUGUGAGUUUGGAUCUAAUAUUUUUACUUAGUUCUCUCUUAGCUUUAGUUUUUCUUACCAUAAAAUGAAUAUAAAAUGGAACUUUUUUUUGUUUGUUUGUUUGUUUGUUUUUCAAGACAGGGUUUCUCUGUGUAGUUUUGGUGCCUGUCCUGAAUUUCCCUCUGUAGAUCAGGAUGGCCUCGAACUCACAGAGAUCUGCCUAGUUCUGCCUCCUGAGUGCUGGGAUUAAAGGUGUGCGCCACCACCGCCCGGCAAAAUACACCAUUUUAAUACUAACUAUAAUAUUAAUAAUAAGGACUCCAUAAUUCUUGGCCUAGGAAAAAGUAUUGAAGAGACAAACUGUUAAGCCUGGGCUGUUGGUACACACCUAUAAUCCCUACACUCAGGACAUAGAGACAGGAGGAUUGUGAGUUCAAAGCCAGCCUGGUCUACAGAGCGAGAUCCAGGACAGGCACCAAAAACUACACAGAGAAACCCUGUCUCAAAACAAAAAAACAGUGCGGUCUCAUAGCAGCGGCAGAGACGCGGCCAAGCUGCUACCGGAGUGGUCGCCUGUUAGCGGACAGUGACAAGACUCCAAAGCUGGCUCUUGUCUACGGCCAGGAGCUAAUGGCAGGGGACAGAAGCAAGCAUUCUGAGCUGGACCAAGAAAAAUAUGAUGCUCAUGACAACGUGAAGAUCAUCUGUCUGGGAGACAGCACGGUGGGCAAAUCCAAACUUCUGGGAUACAGCAGGCCAGGAGAGGUUCCAGAACAUGUAUGCCUCCUACUACCUACCACAAGGCUCAUGCCUGCAUCAUGGUAUUUGAUGUCCAGAGGAAAAUCACCUAUAAGAACCUGGGUACCUGGUAUGCAGAACUUCGGGAGUUCAGGCCGGAGAUCCCAUGCAUCCUGGUGGCCAAUAAAAUUGAUGCAGACAAACAGCUAACUCAAAAGAACUUCAGUUUCGCCAAGAAGUUUUCCCUGGCCCUGUACUUCGUCUCAGCUGCCAAUGGUACCAGUGUGGUGAAGCUCUUCAAUGACGCAAUUCGAUUAGCUGUGGCUUACAAGGAACGCUCCCAGGACUUUGUGGAUGAGGUUUUACAGGAGCUUGAGAACUUCAAGUUGGAGCAGAAAGAGGAGGAUACACCAGACCAAGAGCACAGUGGCAUGGUCAAGAGCCCGUCUCCUUCUUAAUCAAGAGGACACCCACACAUGGCUGAGUAGGGGUAUCAGGAAGCCAUUUGAAAUGCCCAACAUCUCUGGAGAACCUCUCCAGGCUACCCCUGCUCAACUUCCUGCAAACCCACUGUUCUGUGGUCCAUGAUGAGGUCAACACAAACACACUAGACAGGCAUGAUAUCCCACCAACUUCCUACAGCAGGAUGAGGGAUCCAUGUCUUUCAAAUCUUCCCACCCCACCAGCAGCCUGGCAGUGUAGAAUCAGUGAACAUGCUCAUGUUUUCUUACUAGACAUGUAAUGUUUGUUGUCUUUCAUCCCAAACUGACCUCAGGGAUUCUCCUUGCUGCUGACAGGACUGCUGACCCCUAACUACACUGUGUCCUGCAGAAUCUGUGACCUCUGUCCCUUUGCCCUCUGAGUCUCCCAACCAACUUUUUCAACAAUAUUUUGGACAGACUGUUGAUUCCAGAUUUUUUUUAGUGCUGUUUCAGGAGCUCUUCUAGGUCAGGUUGAGAGCACAGGAAUAGGACUCCGUUGCAGUCACAUGAAAACACGCCAAGUCUAGCCAUAUCUGGUCAUAUCCGCACAUUACUAUUGCCCACCACAUGAACAACAGCUUCUUUUGAAGCCUCCAUCUCAGAGUAGAAAGUGUUCCUCCACCUGUCUAGCAUCUUCUGUGGGUGGCAGGAAAUGGCAUGGGAAGAGCUGCCCUGCUUCCUGCAGCUUGCUAGCCUGCACUUAUGAUUGUCUUCAGCAUUGUUUCCAUUGUCUUUAUUAUUUUGUUUGUAUUGUUUCCUUUUGUACAAUAAAGAUUAAAUUUCAUAAAAAAACAAUAACAACAACAAAUAAAGACACAUUCUCCUUUUUAAACUUAGAGUUAUAGGUAAUUUUUCAGUCAAAGCCCUUUGACUACUUAAAGGAAAUAAUUGUGGUCUUUUGAUAGUAAGAAACUUAUUUCAGAAAUAAAUUUUUAGGUAAGUUUUAAAACUACGUGAAGUUUUAUUAGAUUACUACAUUAAAUAAAGACAUAAAGAUGUCUAAACCCAGUUCUAGAUAGCAAAGAGAUGAUUAGGUUAUAGGGGAACACAACAAACCAGUAGAAUGCCAUAAAGUAGCAGUUCUCCACCUGUGGGUUGUGACUCCCACAGGGGUCACUUAUCUGAUAAACUGAAUAUUAGAUAUUUACAUUACAAUUCAUAACAGUAGCAAAAUUACAGUUAUGAAGUAGCAACUAAAGAAUUUUAUGGUUGGAGGUCCCCACAACAUGAGUUGUAUUGGAGGGUCACAGCAUUAGGAAGGGCACUGCCAUACAGCUUAUAGGUAGAUGGUGAAUAGUUGCUUCUCUUGGAAAUGAAAGAGAUCAUAAAAGACUUCAAGGAUGAAUAAUUUAUGUUGAAUUUUCAAAAGUAUUUGUGAGUUGAGGAGGAUUUCUUUUUUAAAAAAAGAUUAUUUAUUUAUUUAUUUAUUUAUUUUACAGUGUUCUGUCUGUAGAUAUCCCUGCAGGCCAGAAGAGGGCACCAGAUCUCUUUACAGAUGGUUGUGAGCCACCAUGUGGUUGCUGGGAAUUGAACUCAGGACCUUUGGAAGAACAAGCAGUGCUCUUAACCUCUGAGCCAUCUCUCCAGCCCCUGAGGAGGAUUUCUGAACAAAGUAAAGAGCAACGUAUUUUCAGAUGCAGAAGCAUGAAAGGGAUGCAUUCAAAGCACAGUGCUCUUUGGAGAUUGGAGUGAGGAGAAGACAGCAGUGAGGCCAGGCAGGAAGACAGGAGCUGUGGGAGGCUUUGAAUGUCAAGUUAAGAAACCUGAACUUCCUUGUGGUAGUAUAAGAGUCAUUGAAGGGUUGAUUCGAAUUUUGAUUCCUGUAUACUGUGUCAUUUAAAAGUUGUGCUCCUGUAGACAAUAUGUACAUAUUAAAUCUUACAAAGGCAUUGAACUUAACAGCCACAAGACACUGGAGCCUAAAACUUGGGUUUGUGUAACUGGAAGUGUAUCUAGGUAGUGAAUAGUUUGGAAGUAGAAAUGGGUUCAAAGAAUUUGUUUAAAUGGUUUCACUUACUGAUAAUCUAGUAUGUCUAGAUCCUUUCAUGUACUUUAGCUUAGAAUUCUCCAUGCUGCUGUUCUCCAUUCUUCAGGUAAGGAUCGAUUCUUUUAAGUUAAAUGACACUUGCUAAAAGCCUAUAGCAAUUAAGUGAAAGAGCUAGAAAUUUGGUUCUAAGUAUAGUAUUCUUUCUACUGGUAUAGGGACUGUCAGCAGAAUGUAUUGACCCCUCAUGAAUAACCUUGUAUUCUUGACCAUCCUUGAAGGUGACACAAAGACCAAUGCUGAAAUAGUCUACCACUGAUUGAAAUAUUUAAUUAUUUCAUUUGCCAUGGCUGGGCUAGCAUGGGAAAAAGUUACCGGUAGGUGCUAGCCCUCCUGUGCCAUAUCACCUUAUCUGAUUGGUUUUAUGUGGCUGUAAUCUGGUUGGAAUAACAUGGGGGAAAGAGAGGUUUGGGAUUUGAAGAGUAAUUGGAAUAGGUUUUUAUAUCCUUUCUUUCACUUAUGUUU